RNAcentral lists this transfer RNA (85 nucleotides) under Acidobacteria bacterium 37-71-11. RNAcentral describes it as "tRNA-Leu". It matches the Rfam family "tRNA". Rfam says of the family: Transfer RNA (tRNA) molecules are approximately 80 nucleotides in length. Their secondary structure includes four short double-helical elements and three loops (D, anti-codon, and T loops). The record is from RNAcentral. RNAcentral also lists the same sequence under 1 other name. Lineage: Bacteria; Pseudomonadati; Acidobacteriota.
GCCGAAGUGGCGGAAUUGGUAGACGCGCACGUUUGAGGGGCGUGUGGCGCAAGCCAUGCCGGUUCAAAUCCGGCCUUCGGCACCA